This 762-nucleotide ribosomal RNA is filed under the name Bacillus sp. (in: firmicutes). RNAcentral's name for it is "bacterial SSU rRNA". It matches the Rfam family "Bacterial small subunit ribosomal RNA", at positions 79 to 827 of the family's 1533-position model. Lineage: Bacteria; Bacillati; Bacillota; Bacilli; Caryophanales; Bacillaceae. The record is from RNAcentral.
UUGCUCCCGGAUGUUAGCGGCGGACGGGUGAGUAACACGUGGGUAACCUGCCUGUAAGACUGGGAUAACUCCGGGAAACCGGAGCUAAUACCGGAUAGUUCCUUGAACCGCAUGGUUCAAGGAUGAAAGACGGUUUCGGCUGUCACUUACAGAUGGACCCGCGGCGCAUUAGCUAGUUGGUGAGGUAACGGCUCACCAAGGCGACGAUGCGUAGCCGACCUGAGAGGGUGAUCGGCCACACUGGGACUGAGACACGGCCCAGACUCCUACGGGAGGCAGCAGUAGGGAAUCUUCCGCAAUGGACGAAAGUCUGACGGAGCAACGCCGCGUGAGUGAUGAAGGUUUUCGGAUCGUAAAGCUCUGUUGUUAGGGAAGAACAAGUGCAAGAGUAACUGCUUGCACCUUGACGGUACCUAACCAGAAAGCCACGGCUAACUACGUGCCAGCAGCCGCGGUAAUACGUAGGUGGCAAGCGUUGUCCGGAAUUAUUGGGCGUAAAGGGCUCGCAGGCGGUUUCUUAAGUCUGAUGUGAAAGCCCCCGGCUCAACCGGGGAGGGUCAUUGGAAACUGGGAAACUUGAGUGCAGAAGAGGAGAGUGGAAUUCCACGUGUAGCGGUGAAAUGCGUAGAGAUGUGGAGGAACACCAGUGGCGAAGGCGACUCUCUGGUCUGUAACUGACGCUGAGGAGCGAAAGCGUGGGGAGCGAACAGGAUUAGAUACCCUGGUAGUCCACGCCGUAAACGAUGAGUGCUAAGUGUUAGG